AGCGAGGGAUGGGCGGCUGGACAUUAAUCGAUGAACAGAGGACAUGAUGUAACUAGUGACAUGGUGGUUAGAUUGCUGCACUCUGCUGGAUGUGCAUAAUCUAAAGUUUAAACGGAAGUAUAAACCUGAAAAAUGUCUCAUGCUCUUUUGUUUUGUCAGGCAGCGUUUGUAAGUGGAAAUGUCAAGCCUGUCAGCAGCCAGUGUGGAGGCUUCACCAGCAAUAGAGGAAGCAGUGCAGAAGAAACCUCUCAAACCAUGCUGUGCGUGUCCUGACACCAAAAAAGCACGAGAUGCAUGCAUAAUUGAAAAGGGAGAAGAAAGCUGCACAGGCCUCAUCGAAGCGCACAAGGAGUGCAUGAGGGCACUUGGUUUUAAGAUAUAAUACUACCAUCAUCAUCAUCAGAUUGAGUGAAUGCUUGUCAGGCCCUGAUCCUCAUGUUGUUGUAUGAAACAGAGCAGCUCAGAUAUUCUGCUAAAACUCUGCAUUGCGAAUGACAACCUGUGUGAAAUGGGACCCGGUGUGAUCAUUUAUUUAUAUUUCUACACUGCAGAGAAGAUUAUGCAGGACUGCAUUUAUUCCUCUAAGGGAAAUGUCUGUCUUUUCUGUCUCUUUCUUUCAUAUACGAUUUGUGUACAUUUAUGGUCAAUAAAGAUCCUAUGCAAGACGUUAAUCCAUUCUCUUUUCUUGUGUCUUCACCUCUUAUUUGUAUGCAAUGCGCAGAGAUUCUUAUAACAAGGCUGGCUUUCUCUUUUUACAGCCUAUUUUAAAUUAUUCAGUCUAAUCAACAUGUAUCACAUGCUAGAUUUACUUAUUUUAUCACAUUAAAUUAUUUAUGAAGUAGUGUCUGUUGACACACUGCAGGCCAAGCAGUUUUACGCAAACA
RNAcentral lists this long non-coding RNA (884 nucleotides) under Carassius auratus (goldfish). Its description in RNAcentral is "lncRNA (ENSCARG00000012135.1)". Lineage: Eukaryota; Metazoa; Chordata; Actinopteri; Cypriniformes; Cyprinidae. The record is from RNAcentral.